CCUACGGGAGGCAGCAGUGAGGAAUAUUGGUCAAUGGGCGGAAGCCUGAACCAGCCAAGUCGCGUGAGGGAUUAAGGCCCUGCGGGUCGUAAACCUCGUUUGCCGGGGAGCAGUGGUCCGGACGCGUCCGGACCGGGAGAGUACCCGGAGAAAAAGCAUCGGCUAACUCCGUGCCAGCAGCCGCGGUAAUUCGAAGGAUGCGAGCGUUAUCCCGAUGUCUUGGGUUUAAAGGGUGCGUAGGCGGGCAUUUAAGCCGGCGGUAAAAUUUCGGGGCUCAACCCCGGCCUGCCGUCGGAACUGGGUGCCUUGAGUGGGCGAGAAGUAUGCGGAAUGCGUGGUGUAGCGGUGAAAUGCAUAGAUAUCACGCAGAACCCCGAUUGCGAAGGCAGCAUACCGGCGCCCUACUGACGCUGAGGCACGAAAGUGCGGGUAUCGAACAGGAUUAGAUACCCUUGUAGUC
RNAcentral lists this ribosomal RNA (460 nucleotides) under uncultured bacterium. Its description in RNAcentral is "partial 16S ribosomal RNA". It matches the Rfam family "Bacterial small subunit ribosomal RNA", at positions 338 to 795 of the family's 1533-position model. The record is from RNAcentral.